GAUGAACGCUGGCGGCGUGCCUAAUACAUGCAAGUCGAGCGAACGGACGAGAAGCUUGCUUCUCUGAUGUUAGCGGCGGACGGGUGAGUAACACGUGGAUAACCUACCUAUAAGACUGGGAUAACUUCGGGAAACCGGAUCUAAUACCGGAUAAUAUUUUGAACCGCAUGGUUCAAAAGUGAAAGACGGUCUUGCUGUCACUUAUAGAUGGAUCCGCGCUGCAUUAGCUAGUUGGUAAGGUAACGGCUUACCAAGGCAACGAUGCAUAGCCGACCUGAGAGGGUGAUCGGCCACACUGGAACUGAGACACGGUCCAGACUCCUACGGGAGGCAGCAGUAGGGAAUCUUCCGCAAAGGGCGAAAGCCUGACGGAGCAACGCCGCGUGAGUGAUGAAGGUCUUCGGAUCGUAAAACUCUGUUAUUAGGGAAGAACAUAUGUGUAAGUAACUGUGCACAUCUUGACGGUACCUAAUCAGAAAGCCACGGCUAACUACGUG
This 497-nucleotide ribosomal RNA is filed under the name uncultured bacterium. RNAcentral's name for it is "partial 16S ribosomal RNA". It matches the Rfam family "Bacterial small subunit ribosomal RNA", at positions 28 to 507 of the family's 1533-position model. The record is from RNAcentral.